CUGCAUUAUUCCCUGAUACUGGAAGCCGACUCGAUGUUGUUGGUGCUGCUGCCAGUGUGCUGCCGCGGCCUGCAACUGUUUCAACCGGGCAUCUUCUUCUGGGUCUUCAGACUACAGUUAAGAGAGAAUAUAGUCUUAUGAGAAACCUUUUUCACGUUAGCCACUUUUCACCAAUAGACGACAAGGUACUCAUUAUGGCUCAAUAAAGUUUCCACAUGGCCUCUGGGAGAAAAGGUGCCUUUGGAUCAAAGUGAGAACUUUCCAUGUGUCAGUUAAUAUGUUAAGUGACAAGGAUUAUCACAUUUCAUGCUUCAACAGCUCUGUAAGAUAGCUACCACCCAUUUUGCAGAUGAGGAAAUCACAGCACAGAACAGUUAACUAGCUUGUGCAGAGUCACCACCAGCAAGUGGCAGUGCCUCGACUACAGCCUGGGCAGUCUGACAACAGAAGCUGAAGCUCUUACACACUGCCCUGUGCUGCCAGUAUGAAAACACCCUGGUAGCCCGUUAGUCCUUAGAGACUCUCAGUUCAGAAGAGUGUCUAAUUCUUUAUUCACUGAAACCAUGAAAAAAAUGCCUUUUCUAAACUUGA
This is a long non-coding RNA of Felis catus (domestic cat), 591 nucleotides long. RefSeq lists it as uncharacterized. The transcript has 2 exons. NCBI's taxonomy places the organism in Eukaryota, Metazoa, Chordata, Mammalia, Carnivora, Felidae. The record is from RefSeq and is a predicted model, not a curated record.